UAAGGCAUACCGGAGAUAAAGAAACAAAUACGGUUAUACCAAAACACAAACACCAUGGGAAAAGUUCGGCAACAAACCCAAAGAAGCCUUCAAAUUUCACCAACAAGUCGAAAGAAGGGCAAAACAAUCUGAAAAAUCUCAAGGGGAGGUUUUAGCCA
Molecule: long non-coding RNA, 158 nt
Organism: Ipomoea nil (Japanese morning glory)
Lineage: Eukaryota; Viridiplantae; Streptophyta; Magnoliopsida; Solanales; Convolvulaceae
Exons: 3
Source: RefSeq, a predicted model, not a curated record